RNAcentral lists this ribosomal RNA (243 nucleotides) under uncultured Actinomycetales bacterium. RNAcentral describes it as "partial 16S ribosomal RNA". It matches the Rfam family "Bacterial small subunit ribosomal RNA", at positions 88 to 334 of the family's 1533-position model. Lineage: Bacteria; Bacillati; Actinomycetota; Actinomycetes; Actinomycetales. The record is from RNAcentral.
UACUCGAGUGGCGAACGGGUGAGUAACACGUGGGUGAUCUGCCCUGCACUCUGGGAUAAGCCUGGGAAACUGGGUCUAAUACCGGAUAGGACCAUGCUUUAGUGUGUGUGGUGGAAAGUUUUUUCGGUGUAGGAUGAGCCCGCGGCCUAUCAGCUUGUUGGUGGGGUAAUGGCCUACCAGGGCGGCGACGGGUAGCCGGACUGAGAGGUUGGUCGGCCACAUUGGGACUGAGAUACGGCCCAG